Molecule: ribosomal RNA, 407 nt
Filed under: Pseudomonas sp. R-37123
Lineage: Bacteria; Pseudomonadati; Pseudomonadota; Gammaproteobacteria; Pseudomonadales; Pseudomonadaceae
Description: bacterial SSU rRNA
Rfam family: Bacterial small subunit ribosomal RNA
Source: RNAcentral
UGGCUCAGAUUGAACGCUGGCGGCAGGCCUAACACAUGCAAGUCGAGCGGUAGAGAGAAGCUUGCUUCUCUUGAGAGCGGCGGACGGGUGAGUAAUGCCUAGGAAUCUGCCUGGUAGUGGGGGAUAACGUUCGGAAACGGACGCUAAUACCGCAUACGUCCUACGGGAGAAAGCAGGGGACCUUCGGGCCUUGCGCUAUCAGAUGAGCCUAGGUCGGAUUAGCUAGUUGGUGAGGUAAUGGCUCACCAAGGCGACGAUCCGUAACUGGUCUGAGAGGAUGAUCAGUCACACUGGAACUGAGACACGGUCCAGACUCCUACGGGAGGCAGCAGUGGGGAAUAUUGGACAAUGGGCGAAAGCCUGAUCCAGCCAUGCCGCGUGUGUGAAGAAGGUCUUCGGAUUGUAAA